CACAAGCGGUGGAUGAUGUGGAUUAAUUCGAUGCAACGCGAAAACCUUACCUACGCUUGACAUGUCAGGAACCUCGAAGAGAUUGAGGUGCCCGAAAGGAACCUGAACACAGGUGCUGCAUGGCUGUCGUCAGCUCGUGUCGUGAGAUGUUGGGUUAAGUCCCGCAACGAGCGCAACCCUUAUCAUUAGUUGCUACGCAAGGGCACUCUAAUGAGACUGCCGGUGACAAACCGGAGGAAGGUGGGGAUGACGUCAAGUCCUCAUGGCCCUUAUGCGUAGGGCUUCACACGUCAUACAAUGGUCGGUACAGAGGGUUGCCAACCCGCGAGGGGGAGCCAAUCCCACAAAGCCGGUCGUAGUCCGGAUCGCAGUCUGCAACUCGACUGCGUGAAGUCGGAAUCGCUAGUAAUCGCGGAUCAGCAUGUCGCGGUGAAUACGUUCCCGGGUCUU
Molecule: ribosomal RNA, 450 nt
Filed under: uncultured Derxia sp.
Lineage: Bacteria; Pseudomonadati; Pseudomonadota; Betaproteobacteria; Burkholderiales; Alcaligenaceae
Description: bacterial SSU rRNA
Rfam family: Bacterial small subunit ribosomal RNA
Source: RNAcentral